RNAcentral lists this ribosomal RNA (468 nucleotides) under Triticum aestivum (bread wheat). RNAcentral describes it as "partial small subunit ribosomal RNA". The record is from RNAcentral. Lineage: Eukaryota; Viridiplantae; Streptophyta; Magnoliopsida; Poales; Poaceae.
AUGUCUACAAGCCAAGUGAUCACCGACAAGCAAGCAUCCACCCAUCAUGGAGAUACUAGUGAGAGAAUGAACCACCACAAAGAGAGUGAGCGCCACAAGCCCAAAUUGAGUGACUCUUCGCCAAGAGAGAAAAACUUAGUACUCUUAGCCACCAAAAGAGAGAUGAGAGAAGUGUGUGAGAACCUAUCGAGUGUCAUGCACUAUGUCCUAUUGUGCAAAGAUGAGGUGGCAAAGACUAACACUCCUAAUCCUCUUCCUCUAGUGUUGUCUGAUUUGUUGCAGGAAUUCGUGGAUGUCUUUCUGGAUGAUCUCCCACUCGGUCUUCCUCCUAUACGUGGAAUCGAACAUCGGAUCGACCUCAUCACCGGCGCACCUCUUCCUAACAAGGCUCCAUACCGUGUCAACCCCGAAGAAACCAAAGAAGUACAAAGGCAAGUCCAACAUCUCAUAGAAUGGACAUAUGAAUGA